UGUGAUGCAAAAUAACAUGAAAUUCAUAUUUCAGUGCCACUAAUAAAGCCAUGUUUAUGCCUUACAUACUAAUUAUGACUGCUUUCAUGCUCCAAGGGCAAAUUUUAGUGGUUGUGAUAGAGACCAUGUAGCCUGAAAAGACUACAAUAUUGACUGUCUAGCGUUUUACUCAGAGAAGGCAAUGGCAACCCACUCCAGUACUCUUGCCUGGAAAAUCCCAUGGACUGAGGAGCCUGGUAAGCUGCAGUCCAUGGGGUCACUAAGAGUUGGACAGGACUGAGUGACUUCACUUUCACUUUUCACUUUCAUGCAUUGGAGAAGGAAAUGGCAAGCCACUCCAGUGUUCUUGCCUGGAGAAUCCCAGGGACACGGGAGCCUGGUGGGCUGCCGUCUAUAGGGUCGCACAGAGUCGGAUACGACUGAAGCAACUUAGCAGCAGUAGCAGUAGCAUUUUACUGAAAAAAAUUUGGCAAUUCCUUCUUUAGAAGAAUAGGAGGGUGUCUGUAGACCAAACCAUGCAUUGAAUAUCCAUUUCCUAGUCUCUUAUGUGAAAAAUGAUACUUACAAAUGCAGGAAAGGAAUCAGAAUGAUAGAGAUUCAUUCUUAACUCUGUUGGGGUUUUUGUACAGUAAACUUGGAGAUACCUGUCUUUUAACUUGGCAGGGUCACAAAUGAGUCAAGGAAAAAUCCUUUUCCAGUUUAAUAAAUUUAUGUUAUAGAUAAUUUUAACUAUAGAUAAAAAAACAUCAUAAAGAGAAUAAAAGGGCAAGCUGGGAAAAGGUAUUUCCCUCAAAUAAAAUCCAGAUUGAAUAGUACCCAGAUCAUAUAAGGAAUUUCCGGGUGGUCCAGUGGUUGGGACUCUGUGCCUUCAAUGCAGGGGCUCAAGUUUGAUCCCUGGUCAUGGAACUAACAGCCCACAUGCUGUGCAGUGCAGCCAAAAGCUAUUUAAAAAAAAAACACAUUUCCUAUACCCCAAAGUUCUUUCUUUAAAAAAAAUUAUCUUACUAAAUUUACUAAAAUUAAUGAUGCAUUCUCUUGCCAGGAAGACUUUGGUAAAGUCCAACCUCCAUAGCUCAGCAUUCGAAAGCCCAAUCUUCCUUUCCCAGUCUUAUUUCCCAAGUGUCUCUUCCCUCACUCCUCUCCCUAAUCUGAUGCUCCAGCUUCAUGGAUCCAUUAGCUGUUCCCAAGUACACCCAGCACUUCCUCAUGCCCCACUUUGCUUCCUGGGCUUGGAGAGUACCCUCCAUCUCUCAUCACCCCCACAACAUUGCUCAUCAGUGAAGGUUCAGCUUAAAUUCUGCCUUCUCUGAAAUGGCCUCUCAGAUCCCUCCAGUUCGAUCUCUCCUGCUUCGACACAGAGUCCUUUAUACCUUGUAAUCCAGUCUGCCUUGAGGCACUUGUUUAUGUACUGAUCUCCUUCUUGUCCAGCUCGGAGUACAAGGAUUAUAUCCCUGCACUGAGUAUGUUCCUCAGUCCUUGGUAUCGAGUAGAUAUCCAUACAUUUAAAACCUUUUUGUUUUGAAAUAAUAGUCACAGAAAGUUGCAAAAAUUGUGCAGAGAGAUUCCUUGUACUCUUCAGCCAGCCUUUCCCAAUGGUAAUGUCUUACAUUAUCCUCGGUACAAGAGACAUCCAUAAGUUUUUAUUUGGUGGUUUAUCUUGGUUUAACUACCAGUUCUUUUUGUGUAACUUGCAAUCAUAUUUCAAAUCUUCUUCCUCAGCAUCUAGAUCAACUUUCCACAAAAUGUUCUGGUCUCAUGUAGCCAGAUUAAGUGUAAAAUAACUGCUUCAAAAAGCCCCUAAAUUUCAUUGGUUUGGAAAGGCAUGUGUUGCAAUAAAAAAAUCACCUGGCUAGAUUUUCAGUGUAGCAGAAUUUUAUCUUUCAGGGAGUCAAGCUAUGUGUGUAAGUGUUUAGAGCUUUGGACCCACAGGUUGGAGUAUUUAUGAAGAUUAGUGUAGUUCUGUGGUGUAAAUCCUUGCCUUUUCUCAUUUACGUGCUCUGGUUUAAUUUGUUUUUAUAGUUCUGUACUUUGUGACUCUAAAGUCCAACUUUUAUAGAACCAUGGCACCUUUCAAAAUACAUGAGUGGACAUAAAGUGUUCAAUAAUAGAUUGACAAAAACGUUCGCUCUCUUCUCUAGAAACGCUUAAUUUCUGGAUCAAGAUCAGAAAAGCAAAUUUCACAAUAGAAUCCCUGAGAUGUUGUAAUUGUGUUUUUUAUCUGAUAUUUCGAAAGCAAUUUAUGGUUGGAAACUGAUUUUCCUCAGAGACACAGUUCUUAGUGGUCUGUCCUAUUUAUAUCCUUUAACUGUUUUUUAUUUAUUAUUGUUUUCUGAGUUCUCAUCCCACUGCUUUAAAAUGUUUUCCAUGGUAUGACUUGAGCAUUGGAGGGAAUCUCCUUCCUCAAAAAUUCCUUCUUCAGCAAUUUGUGGUAAAGCGCCACAAUGAGUUAUUCCUAUCUUUGGAUUGGGGCUUUUAGGAUAAGCAGGUAGGUCAGAUUUCCAUGUUAGGUUAGGUCGUUAUCAGAAACACUUUAGGAGUGAUGCUUUUAUCAGAAAGUCUUUCCUCUGAGACAGCUGAGAGAGAAUGACUCCAAACAAAGAGCCAUGCAAGGAACUUGUGAGAGACAGCUGGAGCUGCCCACCCCCAACACGGAUGAGCACAGGAAUCACCUGGAGAUCCUCUGAUGAGGCAGGUUCUAAGUUAGCAAAUCUGGAGAGCAAGUGCAGGGAGGGUUUUCAGUCCUAACGAGCUCCCAGGUAAUGCUGAUGCUGCCGGAAACCGGACCCCAUGUUGAGUCAUAAGGGACUGAAGGAUAUUCAGCCUUAGAAGGCUUGGGUGGAGGCAUGGCAAGGAGGAGGCCCCAAAAGCAGAAUGAGGAGAAACAGGGCUGUGGACAAUUAAAGGAUGAGAAAGACAAGGUUGGCUCACUUAAUUUUGGUUAAACGGUGCUUUCCAGGACAAAGAAGCGAUAUACAGAUAGAUUAAAUUUUUCUAUUUUAUAUUAUGUAUGUGUAUUAAGGGCUUCCCUCGUGGUCCGGAUGGUAAAGAAUCUGCCUGCAAUGCCGGAGACCCAGGUUCAGUCCCUGGGUCAGGCAAGAAUACUGGAGUGGCUUGCCAUGCCCUUCUCCAGGGGAUCUUCCUAACCCAGGGAUCAAACCCACGUCUCUUACAUCUCUUACAUCUCCUGCAUUGGCAGGCAGGUUUUACCACUAGCACCACCUGGGAAGCCAUGAGCUAUUAAGAAGCCAUAAGAUAUUAAGUACCUAAAAAUAACCCCACAUAGAGGCUCUGCCCCUUCUUGGCAACCUCCACCAUUACCCCACCUGCCUCCAACGCAGCGGUACUGCCCCACACAGGAGUGAGAACUGAAUUUUCAGUGACCCGCCAGUGGACAUGCAGGAAUGGGGCUGGGAUGAUCAGCCCAGGGGCACUUCAUCCCAUAUCCUGCAGGGGAUACAUUAUUUGGCUCUCUAGUCCACGGGGUCACUAAGAGUUGGACACGACUAAGCGACUUCACUUUCACUUUUCACUUUCAUGCAUUGGAGAAGGAAAUGGCAACCCACUCCACUAUUCUUGCCUGGAGAAUCCCAGGGAUGGGGGGAGCCUGGUGGGCUGCCAUCUAUGGGGUCUCACAGAGUCUGACACAACUGAAGCAACUUCGCAGCAGCAGCAGUGCUUAAAAUUUUCCAAAUGACCACAUGACUCCAAAUCAGCUUUGGUUUAUUUUGAAACAUGGCUCCCUUCCAAUCACUCCUCGUCCCAGUUGUCUAAAAGGGAUGCCUUGCAGAGCUGGAAGAGUGGCUCCUUUCUUUGUCAAGCUGGUAACUCCUGUUUAUUUUUCAUUUCUUCUUUGUGUUUUUUCCCAUUAACUUAAAAAAUAUUAAGCCAACAUUUUUAAAUUUGUGUGUAAUGUCUUUAAGAUAUUUUCUUAGUCUCCAAGACAAGGAUGAAGGUGAGAGGAGAACGCUGGAAGGAAAAAAUCUCUUGCCUAUGCAAGUGCUUACCUACAAAGAACAGAAAGAUUUCUCUAAAGCUAUUGCUUGAGAGAAAAAGAAGCUAUGGUCACUCAUGCACUUGAGGGCAAAGCUUUUGCCUUUAAAGACAUGAGUCCACCAAUGCCCCAAGCCACGUGCUCAGUGACCCCUUUGGGAGUGUUUACCUCCUGCCACCUGCCUGGUGUUUUGUCCCUAGCAAUCAACUCCAGAUAGAAGAAAAAUCUUUAUCUAGGCCAAAAGUUUCUCAAGUCAGGGCAUUUAGGGACAGAGAGAGAUCAUCAGGUGAAUUUAAGAGGGUGAUGACUGCCCUUAGAAUCAGGAGAAUUGGUCAUUCCAUUAGUGGGUUUGUUUCUCUAAUCCAGUGUAAGUUAUCAAAAUUCAAUUAUUGAUACAAAAGUGAAAGUGAAAUUCGCUCAGUUGUGUCCAACUCUUUGCGACCCCAUGGAGUAUACAGUCCAUGGAAUUCUCCAGGCCAGAAUACUGGAGUGGGUAGCCUUUCCCUUCUCCAGGGUAUCUUCUCAACCCAGGGAUCGAACCCAGGUUUCCCACAUUGCAGGCGGAUUCUUUACCAGCUGAGCCACAAAGGAAUUUUAUAAAUACCUACGCAUAGCAAUCAGCUGACUCUUUGGUACAAGGAUGGUAAUUAGUGCUCCAGAUAAAACAGGGAAAUAAAGGCAGAGCUCAGUUUAGGGUCAAGGAAUGUUAUAAAGGGGGGUUGGUGAGAAGACCGUCUGGUUUUCUUACUCCUUAUUCUACUCCUGGGCUACCCUUGUAGCUCCAUCAGUAAAAAAUCUGCCUGCAAUGCAGGAGACCCAGGUUCGGUUCCUGGGUCUGGAAGAUCCCCAGGAGAAGGAAAUGGCAACCCAUUCUAGUAUUCUUACCUGAAGAAUCCCAAGGACAGAGAAGCUUGGCAGGCCACAGUCCAUGGGGUCGCAAGAGUCAGACAUGACUUAGCGACUAAACAACGAAACAAUUCUACUCCUACUCCUACUCUGAGGAAAAGAAAGCCAAAUUUGUGUUUCAAGGAUUCUAUUCAAAGGAACUGAAGUGAGGAAGGAGAUGGGUGGUCAGGCCUGGAGUCAGGAGAGAACUGGUGAUAGUGGAGAGGUAAGAGUGAUGGUGGG
Long non-coding RNA from Bos taurus (domestic cattle), 5119 nucleotides. The record is from Ensembl. Lineage: Eukaryota; Metazoa; Chordata; Mammalia; Artiodactyla; Bovidae.